GAUGAACGCUGGCGGCGUGCCUAAUACAUGCAAGUAGAACGCUGAAGGAAGGAGCUUGCUCUUUCCGGAUGAGUUGCGAACGGGUGAGUAACGCGUAGGUAACCUGCCUGGUAGCGGGGGAUAACUAUUGGAAACGAUAGCUAAUACUGCAUAACAGUAGAUGUUGCAUGAUAUCUACUUAAAAGGUGCAAUUGCACCACUACCAGAUGGACCUGCGUUGUAUUAGCUAGUUGGUGAGGUAACGGCUCACCAAGGCGACGAUACAUAGCCGACCUGAGAGGGUGAUCGGCCACACUGGGACUGAGACACGGCCCAGACUCCUACGGGAGGCAGCAGUAGGGAAUCUUCGGCAAUGGACGGAAGUCUGACCGAGCAACGCCGCGUGAGUGAAGAAGGUUUUCGGAUCGUAAAGCUCUGUUGUAAGAGAAGAACGAGUGUGAGAGUGGAAAGUUCACACUGUGACGGUAUCUUACCUGAAAGGGACGGCUAACUACGUG
This 497-nucleotide ribosomal RNA is filed under the name uncultured bacterium. Its description in RNAcentral is "partial 16S ribosomal RNA". It matches the Rfam family "Bacterial small subunit ribosomal RNA", at positions 28 to 507 of the family's 1533-position model. The record is from RNAcentral.